Molecule: long non-coding RNA, 857 nt
Filed under: Portunus trituberculatus (swimming crab)
Lineage: Eukaryota; Metazoa; Arthropoda; Malacostraca; Decapoda; Portunidae
Description: uncharacterized LOC123510432, transcript variant X1
Source: RNAcentral
CCUGUUGGGCUCCACGUCAGAUUCCAGGCCAGCUGGGCCGACGUGGGCAGCGUCAGCAGCAGUUUCAUUGGAAUGUGACAGGUUUGACAGGAGCCACGUUAUUAUCUUUCCCUUGGCUAGCGGCUCCACUGUCGGGCCGUGGUGUUGGGCAAAGAUCAGCGCGGGGGAUGGUCUGUGUCCUGGGAAGACACGCAACCAUAUGUUGGGUGUCCUGCCUCGUCACAUUAAUUGAUUGAUGCAGGAGAGUGAAGGACUGACUGCCUGCUUCCCUGAUACAACAAAGAUUAGGCCACCACCGCAGCCCAACAACCCCUUCGCGAGCUGGCAGAGUUGGAGAUGAGUAAGGAUGGACUCUGCUGCCUGUCAUUCCUGGUCUCCGAGUUGACCCGUCCAUCAUCACUGCUCUCUUCAGCGGGUGCUCCACCCAGCUCGUUACUCUAGUUGGCCCAUCUAUCAUCACUGCUGAAGAGCACCCAGCUCUGUCAAUCCUGGCUGUCUUCAAGUACAAGUGGAGUGAGUGUCUUCAUCAUCGCAGUUGUAUAGUAGAUGGAGCUGUGAAUGAACCAAGCCACACGUCAGCGCAAUGAGAUUGGUGGUCAAGAAAUCGUGGUGUUGCUGUUGAGGCUGGGAACACUAUGGAAAGAAAGACGUGUUUUAAACUUCAGAAGUUGCUAGUGAUAUAUAAUAUUUAAAGAAAAGCUCAAAUGUACUCUGCCAUAUAUAUAUAUAUAUAUAUAUAUAAUUGAUGUACAAGUAGAAAGAAAUAAAGGUUGUAAAAAAGCAAUAUACACUACUUUGCCAUGUCUUGUAAUUAUAUAUAUAAUAUAAUAAUAGGAAAAAAAUAAAUAACAUGAAUA